UUAAAAAGCUCGUAGUUGGAUUUCGGAGUGGGCCAGUUGGUCCGCCGCAAGGUGUGUUACUGACUGGUUUGCUCUUCUUCGCAAAGACUGCGUGUGCUCUUCAAUGAGUGUGCGUAGGACUUACGACGUUUACUUUGAAAAAAUUAGAGUGUUCAAAGCAGGCUAUUGCUUGAAUACAUGAGCAUGGAAUAAUGGAAUAGGACUUUGGUCCCAUUUUGUUGGUUUCUAGGGCCGAAGUAAUGAUUAAAGNAGGGGNACCAAUUGGGGGCAUCCGUAUUUCGUUGUCAGAGGUGAAAUUCUUGGAUUUACGAAAGACGAANAACUGGCGAAAAGCACUUGGCCAAGAGUGUUUUNAUUAAUCAAGAACGAAAGUUAGAGGAUCGAAGACGAUCAGAUACCAUCCUAGUUCUAACCAUAAACGAUGUCGACUAGGGAUCAGCGGGCGUUAUCGUACGAC
This 457-nucleotide ribosomal RNA is filed under the name uncultured eukaryote. RNAcentral describes it as "SSU rRNA". It matches the Rfam family "Eukaryotic small subunit ribosomal RNA", at positions 619 to 1075 of the family's 1831-position model. The record is from RNAcentral.